This 825-nucleotide ribosomal RNA is filed under the name Suillus grevillei. Its description in RNAcentral is "eukaryotic LSU rRNA". It matches the Rfam family "Eukaryotic large subunit ribosomal RNA", at positions 63 to 861 of the family's 3401-position model. Lineage: Eukaryota; Fungi; Basidiomycota; Agaricomycetes; Boletales; Suillaceae. The record is from RNAcentral.
AACUAACAAGGAUUCCCCUAGUAACUGCGAGUGAACCGGGAAAAGCUCAAAUUUUGAAUCUGGCGGUCUUUAUGGCCGUCCGAGUUGUAAUCUAGAGAAGCGUCUUCCGCGCUGGACCGUGUAUAAGUUUCCUGGAAUGGAACGUCGUAGAGGGUGAGAAUCCCGUCUUUGACACGGACUGCCAGGGCUAUGUGAUGCGCUCUCGACGAGUCGAGUUGUUUGGGAAUGCAGCUCAAAUAGGGUGGUAAAUUCCAUCUAAAGCUAAAUAUAGGCGAGAGACCGAUAGCGAACAAGUACCGUGAGGGAAAGAUGAAAAGAACUUUGGAAAGAGAGUUAAACAGUACGUGAAAUUGCUGAAAGGGAAACGCUUGAUGUCAGUCGCGUUUGUCGGGGAUCAGCCUUGCUCUUUUGCUCGGCGUACUUCCUGGCGAACGGGUCAGCAUCAGUUUUGUUCGUCGGAAAAUGGCUCGAGAAAUGUGGCACUCUUCGGGGUGUGUUAUAGACUCGGGUCGAAUACGACGUUCGGGACUGAGGAACUCAGCACGACCUUCGGGUUCGGGGCUUAGGCCCACGUUAACGUGCUUAGGAUGCUGGCAUAAUGGCCUUAAGCGACCCGUCUUGAAACACGGACCAAGGAGUCUAACUCGCAUGCGAGUGUUUGGGCGAUUAAAACCCGAGCGCGUAAUGAAAGUGAAAGUCGAGACCCCUGUCGUGGGGGGCAUCGACGCCCGGACCAGAGCUUCUGCGACGGAUCUGCGGUAGAGCAUGCGUGUUGGGACCCGAAAGAUGGUGAACUAUGCCUGAAUAGGGUGAAGCCAGAGGAAA